AACGAACGCUGGCGGCAGGCCUAACACAUGCAAGUCGAGCGAGGACUUCGGUUCUAGCGGCGGACGGGUGAGUAACGCGUGGGAAUGUGCCCUUCUCUACGGAAUAGCCCUGGGAAACUGGGAGUAAUACCGUAUACGCCCUAUUGGGGAAAGAUUUAUCGGAGAAGGAUCAGCCCGCGUUGGAUUAGGUAGUUGGUGGGGUAAUGGCCUACCAAGCCGACGAUCCAUAGCUGGUUUGAGAGGAUGAUCAGCCACACUGGGACUGAGACACGGUCCAGACUCCUACGGGAGGCAGCAGUGGGGAAUCUUAGACAAUGGGGGCAACCCUGAUCUAGCCAUGCCGCGUGAGUGAUGAAGGCCUUAGGGUUGUAAAGCUCUUUCAGCUGGGAAGAUAAUGACGGUACCAGCAGAAGAAGCCCCGGCUAACUCCGUG
Molecule: ribosomal RNA, 433 nt
Filed under: uncultured bacterium
Lineage: Bacteria
Description: partial 16S ribosomal RNA
Rfam family: Bacterial small subunit ribosomal RNA
Source: RNAcentral